RNAcentral lists this long non-coding RNA (261 nucleotides) under Elaeis guineensis (African oil palm). RNAcentral describes it as "long non-coding RNA (EGUI_LNC054580)". Lineage: Eukaryota; Viridiplantae; Streptophyta; Magnoliopsida; Arecales; Arecaceae. The record is from RNAcentral.
GAUGGCGCUGAAGAGGUUCAUCCACUGGAGUGGUCCAGCUAUUGGAAUCCGUGUGCCGUAGGAGUUCGUCCGGAGUCUAUCCAUUACAGGAGUUUAGAGCGAAAGUUCGGCUUUCGUAGGAGUCCGAAUGAAGUCUUUCUGCAGUCGGAGUCAGGGACGAAGUCUGGCUCCCGUAGGAGUCCAGAUGAAGUCUUCCUGUAGUUGGAGUCGGGGAUGAAGUCCGACUCCCGUAGGAGUCCGAAUGAAGUCUUCCUACAGUUG